Molecule: long non-coding RNA, 866 nt
Organism: Salvia miltiorrhiza (redroot sage)
Lineage: Eukaryota; Viridiplantae; Streptophyta; Magnoliopsida; Lamiales; Lamiaceae
Exons: 2
Source: RefSeq, a predicted model, not a curated record
UCAUUCAAGAAACCAACUAUAAACAUUUAAGUUUUAUAUAAACCACAUUUAUGGAUUGCUGAAUAGCAGACAGUUUUUUUUCUUGGAGAGUGAAGAAAACAAUAAUUAAGAAACAUAUUUUAAAGGGCAAAAACUUGUGUGCAUCCUCCCCAGAAUUUAUUAGUCUCCAAUUAUGGUUUGAUAAUUAUAAUUUGGAUUUAAUUAGGGCGGAGUGUGCCUCAUGUUGAAAUGCUGCAAUUCAUCACAUGUCAUCUUGCUCAUGGACAAAAUUCACAAAUUACCAUCGUUUAAGAAUGCUGCUUUUGAGACGGACAGAGAUUCUAGAAAAACUUUGCAGAGAGAAGCAAACCAGAGCACUAGCACUGAUGAGAUUAAUGCUAUCCAUGCCAUGUUCGAUUCUGAGAUAGAAUGUAGCCGCAAUAAGUCACUGGGGCAUUUCGUCGAACAAUCUGUACAUCAGAUUCUUGUGUGAGGCCUGAACAAGAAUCAAAUAAGGAGAAUAGAACAUAAUAGACCAACAAACACCAAGAACCCUGAUAGGCAUACCUCAGACAUAAGUGUGAAUUUCAACAACCAAUCAUCAACUAGAGAAAGACUGACCGAAGAGCCGAGCCUACGGUAUUGAGGCGGUGGAGUUCGUCGGGCCACCGUGAGUGGAGAGAGAGAAGAUGGGUCGUGGUGGAAUGUGGAUCUGCUGUUUCAAUGACGAUUGCAGUCUUGCAGACUUCUCCGACAGCCAUUAGUUUUCUCAAAUUUCUUUUUCUUUUCAUGUUUUAUUUUAUUUGAAUUUGAAUAUUAUAUUUUUUGAGCACCGAUGAAUUAUUAUAUUCCUUUUGUCCAUAAAAGAACUUCAUACUUUUCUUUUU